UUACAUUUCCAUCAGAUCAAAGUUGAGGCUGUUGUUUCCUUCUGCUCAGGAUUCACCUGCUGAUUGUGCCAUGACUCUGCCAGUCUUGGGCAUGAAAGCCUACUGCCAUCUCCUGCCCAGAGACAUCAGAAGCCCUCACUGACUAGAACCUCCUCAAAUCCAAGGCACUGGAAAAGAUGCCCAAGACCAAGAACAGAGGUUCUGGAGAGGAAAAACACGGGAAAGGUUGCAAUGAAUAUUGAACACCUUACCUGGUUGAAGUUUAGGAGACAAAAGCAAGAUAAGGGCCAUUUGGUUCAGGGCCAUAUGGAUCCUUAGACUUCUGCGCUUAGCUCUCUUCUCAUGCUACUCAGAUUCCCACCUGCUCUGGUUCAGGGCACUUUCUACCAAUAUCUCUCAAAGUGGAUCAUAUGACUUAAUAUCACCUUGACCUGACAACACCUACUGAAUUUGAAUCUAAUAGUGUCUGUGUGGCUCCAAGUUGUUAACUUUUUGUCUUUUAAUUAAGCUCCUAAGAUCAUUUUUAUGAAUAUUGAAGUUUGACAUCCAGUUAGGAAAAGGAGAGUGGUUGCCUUUGCUGUCUGUGUCAGUAAUAGUGACUGGAAAUUGUCCUGAUAGAUACUAACUGCUCUAUCAUUCUUCAUUACAAUGAUUAUAUAUUUAUCAAUUUUCCUCACUUGCUUGUAAGCCCCUAAAAGAUAGAAAUUAAUUAUCUUUGUAUUUCAUUAGUUUAGUAGAAUGCUU
RNAcentral lists this long non-coding RNA (744 nucleotides) under Oryctolagus cuniculus (rabbit). Its description in RNAcentral is "lncRNA (ENSOCUG00000036318.1)". The record is from RNAcentral. Lineage: Eukaryota; Metazoa; Chordata; Mammalia; Lagomorpha; Leporidae.